Molecule: ribosomal RNA, 591 nt
Filed under: Leptographium wingfieldii
Lineage: Eukaryota; Fungi; Ascomycota; Sordariomycetes; Ophiostomatales; Ophiostomataceae
Also listed under: 1 other name
Description: eukaryotic LSU rRNA
Rfam family: Eukaryotic large subunit ribosomal RNA
Source: RNAcentral
UUGACCUCGGAUCAGGUAGGACUACCCGCUGAACUUAAGCAUAUCAAUAAGCGGAGGAAAAGAAACCAACAGGGAUUGCCCCAGUAACGGCGAGUGAAGCGGCAACAGCUCAGAUUUGGAAUCUGGCCCCCAGGGCCCGAGUUGUAAUCUGGAGAGGAUGCUUCUGGCGCGGCGCCUUCCGAGUUCCCUGGAACGGGACGCCGGAGAGGGUGAGAGCCCCGUACGGUUGGACGCCUAGCCUUUGUGAAGCUCCUUCGACGAGUCGAGUAGUUUGGGAAUGCUGCUCAAAAUGGGAGGUAAAUUUCUUCUAAAGCUAAAUACCGGCCAGAGACCGAUAGCGCACAAGUAGAGUGAUCGAAAGAUGAAAAGCACUUUGAAAAGAGGGUCAAACAGUACGUGAAAUUGUUGAAAGGGAAGCGCCCGUGGCCAGACUUGUGCCCCGCGGACCACCCGGCGCCCUCAGCGCCGGUGCACUCCGCGGGGCGCAGGCCAGCAUCGGUUUUCCUAGGGGGAUAAAGGCGGCGGGAACGUGGCUCCCUCGGGAGUGUUAUAGCCCGCCGCGCCAUGCCCCUGGGGGGACCGAGGACCGCG